RNAcentral lists this ribosomal RNA (445 nucleotides) under uncultured bacterium. RNAcentral's name for it is "partial 16S ribosomal RNA". It matches the Rfam family "Bacterial small subunit ribosomal RNA", at positions 354 to 796 of the family's 1533-position model. The record is from RNAcentral.
GUAGGGAAUAUUGGGCAAUGGAGGCAACUCUGACCCAGCCAUGCCGCGUGCAGGAUGACGGCCCUCUGGGUUGUAAACUGCUUUUAUACGGGAAGAAAAAAUACUACGUGUAGUAUACUGACGGUACCGUAAGAAUAAGGAUCGGCUAACUCCGUGCCAGCAGCCGCGGUAAUACGGAGGAUCCAAGCGUUGUCCGGAUUUAUUGGGUUUAAAGGGUGCGUAGGCGGAUCUUUAAGUCAGUGGUGAAAGCCGGCAGCUUAACUGUAGAAUUGCCAUUGAAACUGAAGAUCUUGAAUGUGGUUAAAGUAGGCGGAAUGUAUCAUGUAGCGGUGAAAUGCUUAGAUAUGAUACAGAACACCGAUAGCGAAGGCAGCUUGCUGAACCAUUAUUGACGCUGAGGCACGAAAGCGUGGGGAGCGAACAGGAUUAGAAACCCUUGUAGUCC